This 2906-nucleotide ribosomal RNA is filed under the name Escherichia coli. Its description in RNAcentral is "23S ribosomal RNA". It matches the Rfam family "Bacterial large subunit ribosomal RNA". Lineage: Bacteria; Pseudomonadati; Pseudomonadota; Gammaproteobacteria; Enterobacterales; Enterobacteriaceae. The record is from RNAcentral.
GGUUAAGCGACUAAGCGUACACGGUGGAUGCCCUGGCAGUCAGAGGCGAUGAAGGACGUGCUAAUCUGCGAUAAGCGUCGGUAAGGUGAUAUGAACCGUUAUAACCGGCGAUUUCCGAAUGGGGAAACCCAGUGUGUUUCGACACACUAUCAUUAACUGAAUCCAUAGGUUAAUGAGGCGAACCGGGGGAACUGAAACAUCUAAGUACCCCGAGGAAAAGAAAUCAACCGAGAUUCCCCCAGUAGCGGCGAGCGAACGGGGAGCAGCCCAGAGCCUGAAUCAGUGUGUGUGUUAGUGGAAGCGUCUGGAAAGGCGCGCGAUACAGGGUGACAGCCCCGUACACAAAAAUGCACAUGCUGUGAGCUCGAUGAGUAGGGCGGGACACGUGGUAUCCUGUCUGAAUAUGGGGGGACCAUCCUCCAAGGCUAAAUACUCCUGACUGACCGAUAGUGAACCAGUACCGUGAGGGAAAGGCGAAAAGAACCCCGGCGAGGGGAGUGAAAAAGAACCUGAAACCGUGUACGUACAAGCAGUGGGAGCACGCUUAGGCGUGUGACUGCGUACCUUUUGUAUAAUGGGUCAGCGACUUAUAUUCUGUAGCAAGGUUAACCGAAUAGGGGAGCCGAAGGGAAACCGAGUCUUAACUGGGCGUUAAGUUGCAGGGUAUAGACCCGAAACCCGGUGAUCUAGCCAUGGGCAGGUUGAAGGUUGGGUAACACUAACUGGAGGACCGAACCGACUAAUGUUGAAAAAUUAGCGGAUGACUUGUGGCUGGGGGUGAAAGGCCAAUCAAACCGGGAGAUAGCUGGUUCUCCCCGAAAGCUAUUUAGGUAGCGCCUCGUGAAUUCAUCUCCGGGGGUAGAGCACUGUUUCGGCAAGGGGGUCAUCCCGACUUACCAACCCGAUGCAAACUGCGAAUACCGGAGAAUGUUAUCACGGGAGACACACGGCGGGUGCUAACGUCCGUCGUGAAGAGGGAAACAACCCAGACCGCCAGCUAAGGUCCCAAAGUCAUGGUUAAGUGGGAAACGAUGUGGGAAGGCCCAGACAGCCAGGAUGUUGGCUUAGAAGCAGCCAUCAUUUAAAGAAAGCGUAAUAGCUCACUGGUCGAGUCGGCCUGCGCGGAAGAUGUAACGGGGCUAAACCAUGCACCGAAGCUGCGGCAGCGACGCUUAUGCGUUGUUGGGUAGGGGAGCGUUCUGUAAGCCUGUGAAGGUGUGCUGUGAGGCAUGCUGGAGGUAUCAGAAGUGCGAAUGCUGACAUAAGUAACGAUAAAGCGGGUGAAAAGCCCGCUCGCCGGAAGACCAAGGGUUCCUGUCCAACGUUAAUCGGGGCAGGGUGAGUCGACCCCUAAGGCGAGGCCGAAAGGCGUAGUCGAUGGGAAACAGGUUAAUAUUCCUGUACUUGGUGUUACUGCGAAGGGGGGACGGAGAAGGCUAUGUUGGCCGGGCGACGGUUGUCCCGGUUUAAGCGUGUAGGCUGGUUUUCCAGGCAAAUCCGGAAAAUCAAGGCUGAGGCGUGAUGACGAGGCACUACGGUGCUGAAGCAACAAAUGCCCUGCUUCCAGGAAAAGCCUCUAAGCAUCAGGUAACAUCAAAUCGUACCCCAAACCGACACAGGUGGUCAGGUAGAGAAUACCAAGGCGCUUGAGAGAACUCGGGUGAAGGAACUAGGCAAAAUGGUGCCGUAACUUCGGGAGAAGGCACGCUGAUAUGUAGGUGAGGUCCCUCGCGGAUGGAGCUGAAAUCAGUCGAAGAUACCAGCUGGCUGCAACUGUUUAUUAAAAACACAGCACUGUGCAAACACGAAAGUGGACGUAUACGGUGUGACGCCUGCCCGGUGCCGGAAGGUUAAUUGAUGGGGUUAGCCGCAAGGCGAAGCUCUUGAUCGAAGCCCCGGUAAACGGCGGCCGUAACUAUAACGGUCCUAAGGUAGCGAAAUUCCUUGUCGGGUAAGUUCCGACCUGCACGAAUGGCGUAAUGAUGGCCAGGCUGUCUCCACCCGAGACUCAGUGAAAUUGAACUCGCUGUGAAGAUGCAGUGUACCCGCGGCAAGACGGAAAGACCCCGUGAACCUUUACUAUAGCUUGACACUGAACAUUGAGCCUUGAUGUGUAGGAUAGGUGGGAGGCUUAGAAGUGUGGACGCCAGUCUGCAUGGAGCCGACCUUGAAAUACCACCCUUUAAUGUUUGAUGUUCUAACGUUGACCCGUAAUCCGGGUUGCGGACAGUGUCUGGUGGGUAGUUUGACUGGGGCGGUCUCCUCCUAAAGAGUAACGGAGGAGCACGAAGGUUGGCUAAUCCUGGUCGGACAUCAGGAGGUUAGUGCAAUGGCAUAAGCCAGCUUGACUGCGAGCGUGACGGCGCGAGCAGGUGCGAAAGCAGGUCAUAGUGAUCCGGUGGUUCUGAAUGGAAGGGCCAUCGCUCAACGGAUAAAAGGUACUCCGGGGAUAACAGGCUGAUACCGCCCAAGAGUUCAUAUCGACGGCGGUGUUUGGCACCUCGAUGUCGGCUCAUCACAUCCUGGGGCUGAAGUAGGUCCCAAGGGUAUGGCUGUUCGCCAUUUAAAGUGGUACGCGAGCUGGGUUUAGAACGUCGUGAGACAGUUCGGUCCCUAUCUGCCGUGGGCGCUGGAGAACUGAGGAGGGCUGCUCCUAGUACGAGAGGACCGGAGUGGACGCAUCACUGGUGUUCGGGUUGUCAUGCCAAUGGCACUGCCCGGUAGCUAAAUGCGGAAGAGAUAAGUGCUGAAAGCAUCUAAGCACGAAACUUGCCCCGAGAUGAGUUCUCCCUGACUCCUUGAGAGUCCUGAAGGAACGUUGAAGACGACGACGUUGAUAGGCCGGGUGUGUAAGCGCAGCGAUGCGUUGAGCUAACCGGUACUAAUGAACCGUGAGGCUUAACCUU